CAAGAGCGUAUGUAAAAGUUGUUGCAGUUAAAAAGCUCGUAGUUGAACCUUGGGUUUGGUUGGCCGGUCCGCUUUUUUGCGAGUACUGGAUUCAACCGAGCCUUUCCUUCUGGCUAACCAGUCGUUUCGGUGGCUGGCGAACCAGGAUUUUUACUUUGAGAAAAUUAGAGUGUUCAAAGCAGGCAUUAGCUUGAAUAUAUUAGCAUGGAAUAAUAGAAUAGGACGUUAUGGUUCUAUUUUGUUGGUUUCUAGGACCAUCGUAAUGAUUAAUAGGGACGGUCGGGGCAUCAGUAUUCAGUUGUCAGAGGUGAAAUUCUUGGAUUUACUGAAGACUAACUACUGCGAAAGCAUUUGCCAAGGACGUUUUCAUUAA
Molecule: ribosomal RNA, 373 nt
Filed under: uncultured eukaryote
Lineage: Eukaryota
Description: partial 18S ribosomal RNA
Rfam family: Eukaryotic small subunit ribosomal RNA
Source: RNAcentral